Molecule: non-coding RNA, 110 nt
Organism: Prunus persica (peach)
Lineage: Eukaryota; Viridiplantae; Streptophyta; Magnoliopsida; Rosales; Rosaceae
Source: Rfam
UUGAGAACUCACUGGUUUCGGAGUCAUGGGAACUCCGAAGUUAAGCGAGUUGGGGCUAGAGCAAUCCCAGGAUGGGUGACCCACUGGGAAGUUGCUUGUUAGUUCCCAGA